UACGUAGGGGGCUAGCGUUGUCCGGAUUUAUUGGGCGUAAAGAGCGUGUAGGCGGCCAGGUAGGUCUGGUGUGAAAACUCGAGGCUUAACCUCGAGAUGUCAUCGGAAACCAUUUGGCUAGAGUCCGGAAGAGGAGAGUGGAAUUCCUGGUGUAGUGGUGAAAUGUGCAGAUAUCAGGAAGAACACCCGUGGCGAAGGCGGUUCUCUGGGACGGUACUGACGCUGAGACGCGAAAGCGUGGGGAGCGAACAGG
RNAcentral lists this ribosomal RNA (253 nucleotides) under uncultured bacterium. RNAcentral describes it as "partial 16S ribosomal RNA". It matches the Rfam family "Bacterial small subunit ribosomal RNA", at positions 524 to 776 of the family's 1533-position model. The record is from RNAcentral.